UACGAAGGGGGCUAGCGUUGUUCGGAUUUACUGGGCGUAAAGGGCGCGUAGGCGGACUGAUAAGUCAGGGGUGAAAUCCCAAGGCUCAACCUUGGAACUGCCUUUGAUACUGUUUGUCUUGAGUUCGAGAGAGGUAAGUGGAACUGCGAGUGUAGAGGUGAAAUUCGUAGAUAUUCGCAAGAACACCAGUGGCGAAGGCGGCUUACUGGCUCGAAACUGACGCUGAGGCGCGAAAGCGUGGGGAGCAAACAGG
This 253-nucleotide ribosomal RNA is filed under the name uncultured bacterium. RNAcentral describes it as "partial 16S ribosomal RNA". It matches the Rfam family "Bacterial small subunit ribosomal RNA", at positions 524 to 776 of the family's 1533-position model. The record is from RNAcentral.